CCUACGGGAGUCAGCAGUGAGGAAUAUUGGUCAAUGGACGAGAGUCUGAACCAGCCAAGUAGCGUGAAGGAUGACUGCCCUAUGGGUUGUAAACUUCUUUUAUAUGGGAAUAAAAUGUUCCACGUGUGGGAUUUUGUAUGUACCAUAUGAAUAAGGAUCGGCUAACUCCGUUCCAGCCGCCGCGGUAAUACGGAGGAUCCGAGCGUUAUCCGGGUUUAUUUGGUUUGAAGGGAGCGUAGAUGGGUUGUUAAGUCAGUUGUGGAAGUUUGCGGCUCAACCGUAAAAUUGCAAUUGAUACUGGCAGUCUUGAGUACAGUUGAGGUAGGCGGAAUUCGUGGGGUAGCGGUGAAAUGCUUAGAUAUCACGAAGAACUCCGAUUGCGAAGGCAGCUUACUAACCUGCCACUGACAUUGAUGCUCGAAAGUGUGGGUAUCAAACAGGAUUAGAUACCCUAGUAGUC
This 460-nucleotide ribosomal RNA is filed under the name uncultured bacterium. RNAcentral's name for it is "partial 16S ribosomal RNA". It matches the Rfam family "Bacterial small subunit ribosomal RNA", at positions 338 to 795 of the family's 1533-position model. The record is from RNAcentral.